GAUGAAGAACGUAGCGAAAUGCGAUAAGUAAUGUGAAUUGCAGAAUUCAGUGAAUCAUCGAAUCUUCGAACGCACAUUGCGCCCGCCAGUAUUCUGGCGGGCAUGCCUGUUCGAGCGUCAUUACAACCCUCAGGCCCCCGGGCCUGGCGUUGGGGAUCGGCGGAAGCCCCCUGUGGGCACACGCCGUCCCUCAAAUACAGUGGCGGUCCCGCCGCAGCUUCCAUUGCGUAGUAGCUAACACCUCGCAACUGGAGAGCGGCGCGGCCAUGCCGUAAAACACCCAACUUCUGAAUGUUGACCUCGAAUCAGGUAGGAAUACCCGCUGAACUUAAGCAUAUCAAUAAGCGGAGGA
RNAcentral lists this unclassified non-coding RNA (352 nucleotides) under soil metagenome. RNAcentral's name for it is "partial contains 5.8S ribosomal RNA, internal transcribed spacer 2, and large subunit ribosomal RNA". The stretch from base 1 to 120 matches the Rfam family "5.8S ribosomal RNA", at positions 35 to 154 of the family's 154-position model. The record is from RNAcentral.